UACGGAGGGUGCGAGCGUUGUCCGGAAUCAUUGGGCGUAAAGGGCGCGUAGGUGGCGGGACAAGCGUGCGGUGAAAGCUCGGGGCUCAACCCCGCGUCGGCCGUGCGAACUGGGCUCACUGGAGCAUAGUAGAGGCAGGUGGAAUUCCGGGUGUAGCGGUGGAAUGCGUAGAGAUCCGGAAGAACACCGGUGGCGAAGGCGGCCUGCUGGGCUAUGGCUGACACUGAGGCGCGACAGCGUGGGGGAGCAAACAGG
Molecule: ribosomal RNA, 255 nt
Filed under: uncultured bacterium
Lineage: Bacteria
Description: partial 16S ribosomal RNA
Rfam family: Bacterial small subunit ribosomal RNA
Source: RNAcentral